RNAcentral lists this ribosomal RNA (253 nucleotides) under uncultured bacterium. Its description in RNAcentral is "partial 16S ribosomal RNA". It matches the Rfam family "Bacterial small subunit ribosomal RNA", at positions 524 to 776 of the family's 1533-position model. The record is from RNAcentral.
GACGUAGGAUGCAAGCAUUGUUCGGAUUCAUUGGGCGUAAAGAGCUCGUAGGUGGCUCUGUAAGUCGGAGGUGAAAGCCCACGGCUCAACCGUGGAAACGCCUUCGAAACUGUGGAGCUUGAGGCUGGGAGAGGAAAUCGGAAUUCCUGGUGUAGCGGUGAAAUGCGUAGAUAUCAGGAGGAACACCGGUGGCGAAGGCGGAUUUCUGGACCAGUUCUGACACUGAGGAGCGAAAGCCAGGGGAGCAAACAGG